GAUCAUGGCUCAGGACGAACGCUGGCGGCGUGCCUAACACAUGCAAGUCGAGCGGGGACUUGAUCAUGAAGUUUCGGAUGGAUUGGUCAAGUUCUAGCGGCGGACGGGUGAGUAACGCGUGAGCAACCUGCCUUCUACUGGGGAAUAACGCAGCGAAAGUUGUGCUAAUACCGCAUGAGACCACAGUGCCACAUGACACAGGGGUCAAAGAUUUAUCGGUAGAAGAUGGGCUCGCGUCUGAUUAGCUAGUUGGUGAGGUAACGGCCCACCAAGGCGACGAUCAGUAGCCGACCUGAGAGGGUGAUCGGCCACAUUGGAACUGAGAAACGGUCCAAACUCCUACGGGAGGCAGCAGUGGGGAAUAUUGGGCAAUGGGCGCAAGCCUGACCCAGCAACGCCGCGUGAAGGAAGAAGGUUUUCGGAUCGUAAACUUCUAUCCUUGGUGAAGAUAAUGACGGUAGCCGAGAAGGAAGCCCCGGCUAACUACGUG
Molecule: ribosomal RNA, 490 nt
Filed under: uncultured bacterium
Lineage: Bacteria
Description: bacterial SSU rRNA
Rfam family: Bacterial small subunit ribosomal RNA
Source: RNAcentral